This 774-nucleotide ribosomal RNA is filed under the name uncultured Neocallimastigales. RNAcentral describes it as "partial large subunit ribosomal RNA". It matches the Rfam family "Eukaryotic large subunit ribosomal RNA", at positions 24 to 642 of the family's 3401-position model. Lineage: Eukaryota; Fungi; Neocallimastigomycota; Neocallimastigomycetes; Neocallimastigales. The record is from RNAcentral.
UAUCUCUGUAGAGUCUGCAUAUCAAUAAGCGGAGGAAAAGAAACUAACAAGGAUUCCCCUAGUAACGGCGAGUGAAGCGGGAAGAGCUCAAAUUUGAAAUCUUCAAGGUUUGACCUUGACGAAUUGUAGUUUAAAGAAGUGUUUUCGGUUAGAGGAGUAGUAAAAGUUCUUUGGAAUAGGACAUCAUAGAGGGUGAGAAUCCCGUAUUUGACUAUUCUUUCUAGCUUUGUGAUACACUUUCAAAGAGUCGGAUUGUUUGGGAAUGCAGUCCAAAAUGGGUGGUAAAUUUCAUCUAAAGCUAAAUAUUGGCGAGAGACCGAUAGCGAACAAGUACCGUGAGGGAAAGAUGAAAAGAACUUUGAAAAGAGAGUUAAACAGUACGUGAAAUUGUCAAAAGGGAAGCGUUUGACACCAGUGUUGUUUUUCCGAAAAUCGAUUAAAAAUUGAUUCAUGCCAGGUUGUAUUGACCUUAUCAGCUUGCAAUUUGGUUUUGGGUCUCUUUUUGAUGCACUUUUCGGUUAACAAGUCAACAUCAAUUUCCUUUGCUGUAAAAAGGUAAGAGGAAGGUGGCUUCAAUUUCGGUUGAAGUGUUUAUAGCCUUUUAUCUCUGCAGUCGGGGAGAUUGAGGUCUGCAGCGUAGAUCCUUCGGGGCUAGAUACAUUUAUGCUAAGUUAUAGCUUUUCAUAGACAACUUGUUGACUAUGUUUAGUCAUGUAGCUUACUCGUAAGUGCUAUUUUACCUACGCUUAGGAUGUUGAGCGCAUGUCUCUCUCU